AUGUUACCGGGAAGCAGCAACAGAGACAGAUUGAGUGCUAAAGCUUCUGUUACCGCGCGAGGUCGUGGUAGAAAGAAUCUUGGCCGUGGUCGUAGUUCAUUGGUGAUUGUCAACGAGGGGAGUGGAAGUUUUUCAGAAUUAACGGGCUUAACAAAGCUCUUCGAUGCGCUUCGCGUCUCUGUUUGUUCGUCCCAGUCUCUGUUCGGGUCGGUUGGGAACCUAAUAAGACAAGCCAAGCGCUUAGCUUAG
Molecule: long non-coding RNA, 249 nt
Filed under: Vicia faba (fava bean)
Lineage: Eukaryota; Viridiplantae; Streptophyta; Magnoliopsida; Fabales; Fabaceae
Source: RNAcentral